AGUGAACGCUGGCGGUAGGCCUAACACAUGCAAGUCGAACGGCAGCACAGUAAGAGCUUGCUCUUACGGGUGGCGAGUGGCGGACGGGUGAGGAAUACAUCGGAAUCUACUUUUUCGUGGGGGAUAACGUAGGGAAACUUACGCUAAUACCGCAUACGACCUACGGGUGAAAGCAGGGGAUCUUCCGACCUUGCGCGAUUGAAUGAGCCGAUGUCGGAUUAGCUAGUUGGCGGGGUAAAGGCCCACCAAGGGGACGAUCCGUAGCUGGUCUGAGAGGAUGAUCAGCCACACUGGAACUGAGACACGGUCCAGACUCCUACGGGAGGCAGCAGUGGGGAAUAUUGGACAAUGGGCGCAAGCCUGAUCCAGCCAUACCGCGUGGGUGAAGAAGGCCUUCGGGUUGUAAAGCCCUUUUGUUGGGAAAGAAAAGCAGCAGGUUAAUACCCCGCUGUUCUGACGGUACCCAAAGAAUAAGCACCGGCUAACUUCGUG
RNAcentral lists this ribosomal RNA (492 nucleotides) under uncultured bacterium. RNAcentral's name for it is "partial 16S ribosomal RNA". It matches the Rfam family "Bacterial small subunit ribosomal RNA", at positions 29 to 507 of the family's 1533-position model. The record is from RNAcentral.